GAUAAACGCUGGCGGCGUGCAUGAGACAUGCAAGUCGGACGAGUGACUCGGGCUUGCUCGAGUCACUAGUGGCGGACGGCUGAGUAACGCGUAGGUGACCUGCCCCGAAGUGGGGAUAACUGCCCGAAAGGGUGGCUAAUACCGCAUGUGGUCACACGUUCGAUCGUGUGAGUGAAGCCGCAAGGCGCUUCGGGAGGGGCCUGCGUCCGAUUAGCUCGUUGGGGGGUAACGGCUCACCAAGGCGACGAUCGGUAGGUGGUCUGAGAGGACGAUCACCCAGACUGGGACUGGGACACGGCCCAGACUCCUACGGGAGGCAGCAGUCGGGAAUUUUGCCCAAUGGACGAAAGUCUGAGGCAGCAACGCCGCGUGAGGGAUGAAGGCCUUCGG
Molecule: ribosomal RNA, 390 nt
Filed under: uncultured bacterium
Lineage: Bacteria
Description: bacterial SSU rRNA
Rfam family: Bacterial small subunit ribosomal RNA
Source: RNAcentral